GCCCGCUUGAUUCCAGCGUAGGACUUAAAAUCCCCCGCUCGUAAGGGCGUGCCGGUUCGAUUCCGGCUUCGGGCACCA
RNAcentral lists this transfer RNA (78 nucleotides) under Pseudomonas sp. 91RF. RNAcentral's name for it is "tRNA-Leu". Lineage: Bacteria; Pseudomonadati; Pseudomonadota; Gammaproteobacteria; Pseudomonadales; Pseudomonadaceae. The record is from RNAcentral.